Long non-coding RNA from Cynoglossus semilaevis (tongue sole), 4150 nucleotides. RefSeq lists it as uncharacterized. The transcript has 11 exons. Lineage: Eukaryota; Metazoa; Chordata; Actinopteri; Pleuronectiformes; Cynoglossidae. The record is from RefSeq and is a predicted model, not a curated record.
UAUCGAAUGAAGAAUAAUUUAAUGCCCCUCCGUGUUAUUCCAUGUAAUUGAAUACUAAUCCACCUCAGUUCUCCAUCAUAUUGCUAUUGUUUUUGUGCAGCUGGCAUUAAAUUACAUUCCACAUGCUAAUAAAGACAGUAUAAUAGGAUAUGGAGAGGUUUGGCAGGUCUCUGAUAGAAUCUGCCAACACUUAAUGAAAUUACCCUAGAAAAGAUAGAUGCCCUUGAAACUAAUUUCAUUCAACCAAAAGGGAGAGAGAAAAAAAACUAUGUAUUACUCUGCUACUUAUGUGAAUUGUUUGUGAAUUUUUCAUUAAAGUGCAGUUUUAGCUGAUUUACGUGCAGAUACUUCAACCAUUCAUUCCAUAGACUUUAAUUGAGAGUUGCCGACGAGCCAAUUACAGUCUUCAGGGAGGGAGAGGUCUCCACCGGUUUGAGGAAUGACGGCAUCUGUACGGUCAAAGGUGAAACCACCGCUGUUUCAGAGCUGCAGUUUUUGGCAGACAGAGGUCACUCGGAGGAGACUGCUGUAAAGAGCGAGGUAUGUGGCGCUCUGACCCCAAGAACCGUGGAAUAAAAGACGCCGAGCUCCCAGCCAAGGAGGGCGCUAUUCCAGAUAUAGCCGGAGGGACCUCAGACUGAGAGCAGUUCAUCUGAACACGGCUGAAGGCAGCGUUGGUGCCGCACUUUAGACAUUAUUCCACAGAGCUUCACUGGCUGUAUUACAGAGCGGGGGUGUAGAUGUUAUCAUCUAAUGCAGAGACUCUCUACUGUAAAACCUCUGAUGCCAGGUGCAGUAUGAUGUUGCUCAACACAGCACAGCAUCAGGGCUGGCCUUUGAACCAGCGACCCUCCUGUGAAUGAGCUCGUUCUCUAACCACUGGGCCACGGUGCUGCUGGAUUCUUCCGUCAUCGUGAGCCUCAUCCCAGGACCAGGCUCUACAGAUGUGGUCAUUCUGGGAUCUGCUGGUCUACCAUGUGUCUACUAGAAGGAAUGUCGUGACCCCUGAGGAGGGGUCUCAUUUCAGUCCAAGUACAAGCUGACGGACCAGGCUCAGCAACAGGACCAGUGGUUUUCUUGAACCACGGCCCAGUCUGUGUUUUUGGUGAUUAAAUGUGAGCGCGUGUGACCUGAAUUUAAAGCUGUCUGCAAGUGAUGAGAUCACACUGGAUGGAUAUGAGGUCAAAACGAGGUCAGUGAACAAAACUGCACAAAGCAGUACUGGUGCGUACUCCUUCGAGUUGUACUGCAAAUAUAUAUGCAGCAAAACUCUCAGUAUUUAUUUACCGAGCGACACAGAGAGCAUGUUAUAUUCAUAUACUGUGGAGUAAAUUCUUCCAAGGGUUUCGACGCUGUUAUCGGUGCUGCUCCAAACCAAAGACUUCAUUCUUUGUACAGCAUCGACAAUCCCACUGAGACGAGGCCCUUCCUCGGUCCUGCUCUUCCAGAACAUUCCCAGCGCAUGAUUAAAGUUUUAUCAGUAAAGGACUUGAUGAAAGGUUUAUCAGCGUAAAGGACAAAUACCACUCAUGUAUAUUUUAUCAGCUCAAAUCAGACCUAAGCCGGCCCACGGUUAAUUGUCGGCGCAGCCUGAGGUCGGCGGAGGUCACGUGUUUUUUGGUGUUGCUGAUAAAUAAUUUCUGAGCACAUUAGAAUAAUUUUAACGCAGUGAUCAUAGAAAAUAAUUAACUUCUUGUCACUUUACAGCCUUGAGAAAAGUUGACCUCUGACACCAGACGCUGACCAAUCACGGUAAAGCUUUAAUCUGGGCUCUGACUGGGAGGCCAGGCUGGGAGACCAGGCCAAUGAGGUGCCGGAGAGUCUAUUGCUUAUCCCCGCCCCUGGUUGGGUGUCUCGAUGCUGCUGCUGCUGCUGCUGCUGCUGCUGCUGCCGUGGCUGUGGUCAGGCCUGGCAGCAGACUGCAGUGACAGACGCUCCCCUGGGAUUCCACCUGUCAGCCACAGACGCACUAAUCGACGGGGCUCACACAGAGCCAGCUCCCUUCCACCUCUCUCUGUCACAUCUUCAUCUUCUCACUAUCCUGACACAUUUACUCUGUCCACGAACCCCCACUCGCCAACAUACACCCAAGCUCCGCCCAUACAUCAACCCACUAUACUCUGCCAUAUAUAUAUAUAUAUAUAUUCUUCCCUCAAAUCCACCCCCCCAAAAAAAAACAACACUAUCUUGUUUUAAUUUUUUAUUUUUGAAAUAUUCUAAAACGUUCUGUCCUUUAUAAAUGUGUCACAGCUACACAAACGCAAGUGAUUUUAUUGUGAAUGUGACUGAGCUGCUGUUAAAUGUUCAGUAAUAAUUGGCUAAGGAGAGGGAGAGUGUUUGGUGGGAGAAGAAGGAGGAGGAGGAGGAGGAGGAGGAGGAAGAGAAGGAGGAGAAGGAAGGGUCAUGGUCAGGUUUCUCAUGGAGGUUACUCUGCAUCUGUCUCUUAGCAACGGCAGACCGCUCUUUGUACAGUCCACGAGUUGAUUGGUGCAAUUCCCCACCACCACCACCACCACCACGACCCCCAUCACUGAAAUAUUUUUCAGGCAGUGGCGGGGUGGGUAGUGAGUGUGUGUGUGUGUGUGUGUGGUGGGGGGGCUGUUGCAGCAGACAGGCUCCUUCCCAUAUUCACUGCUUUUAAGAUUUUGUUUCCAUGGGCGUCAGAUGGGCUCACUGAGGCGUGGCACAAUCACUGGAGCCGAGCCCGUCUCACAGCAAAUUUGCAGCGUUUAAAUAUGAGAGGAAAAAAAAAAUCCUGACAGAAGAGAACCAAUUUAAAGUGAAGGAAAAAAAAGUGUCAGGCCAGUGGCUAUUUGAAAGUAAUAUGUCUUUGUAGGAUAUUUAAUGAUUUGUUUGGAGGUUUGGGUAAAAUAGUCAAACGGUCGUUCCUCGUCGUUCCUGGACGACUCACGUCACCACUCUGACCACUUCACUUGAGCCAGUGUCAGGGAGAGGGCGGCCCGGGGUCAGAGGUGAGUGAAGGAGCCAGAGGCACCUCUUGAUUCACACUGUCAGGCUGAAGACAACGGGACGACACAGUCAGAGCCGUGUGCUGUCAGUGGGCAACAUGAAACAGGAGAAGAAGGGCAAUUUCAGGAUGGAAAGCUGGAAAUAAGAGGAAAAAAAAAACAAAACAAAACACUGUUUUGCCCCCCCCUUCCUCCAAAAUGUCCCUUAAACUGAACCGACAUCUUCUUGGUCCACACCAGUCUGUGCUCGUGUUCAUCAUCAUCUUUUUCCAAAUCUUUGUUUGGUCAGAAAAAGUAUGAAGUAUGAAGUAUUCACGUAAGGAAGUUUACUUUUACAGAACUUUUCACAGAGAGAAUUCUCAAAGUACCUCAUAGUAAAAUCUGAAAAGAAAAAGAAAAUACAGGAUACUGAAUAUAAAAACAGUAACACAACCUUCACCUGACAAAAAAAAAAAACUGUCUAACAACAAUCUGCUCUUUAAGGGACUUGACAGAAUUUAAAGUGAGCAGAAAAGGUGACAAAACAUUAUAGUUAUAACAAGCUGUUUUUUUUUUUUGUUUGUUUGUUUUUUUAGGCAAUGACUCCCAACAAGAAUUCCCGACCUUUCGCAGAACCAAAAAAAAUCCUAAUCCUAAUGGAGCAGAAGUUCAUCUCUGAGGCUGCAGUUCCAGUAACAAUGUACAGUCGAAGUGACUGUGACGGACUGGAGAGAAACCACAGAUGACGGAGAGAAGAAGGGGCCAAAGUGUGACUCCACACACAGAAGUCACGUGUCGUCUGCAGCCACUGAUCACCUGUGGAAAAAAAAGCGGACAAAGAAGAGCUGCUCGAUCACAGAGGAGGAGACGGUGCGCAGGGAAGGCAAACGCAGCAGCAGCUUCCCAAAUCUGGUGGGCUGGUUGGGGUACUGGCUCCUCACGUACUCCUCUAGUGCACACUGGGAUUUCUCCUGCAGCCCCUCUAUGUGCACCAAAUCCGAGAGACCACAAGCAUCUGCAGACAGGGAGGAGGAGAAGUGAUCGUCUCUUAUUGGGAGUCAGGAAGGACGAUGGCCUUGAUGCAGCUGUACUCGGCUGAAUCCACGUGCAGCACCUUCAGCUUCUCCACCUGUUCCUGGAAAACCCGGAUGUUGUCCAUGAAGGCCACCACCCUGUCGGCGGACAUCGGAGAGGCGUGAAGG